AAUUUGAAAGAAAAAUAACGAUCAAAACUUAAGGGCUUGUCUUUGUCAUGACUAGGAAAUUGUUUGUUUCCUUUCCUCGGCUCAAUAAUUUGACAUAAAGUAUGCCACAAAACAAGAAAAAUAACUAUCAAAAUUUGAUUUGAUUUCAUAUGCAAGGACAUAAUGCGUAAUAUGGCAUGUCAGCUGGUCACAUGAUUAGUCACAUCUAGUAUUGUUCUUUCCUUCUACUUUACGAGCAAUUUACUCCACAUCAGUGUCAAAGAGGUAGAGUGAAUAAGUAGACUCUUUCAUUUUAUGUUAAACCUCGUUAUUCGGUGCUGAGAGAAAAAAUGUCCACACAAGACCCAAACAACGAUUAAUGGAACUAACAAAGGCUUAUGUUAUGUGGCAUUAUGCUUUUGCAAAAUGAGACACACACACUCGUCUAUCAAAUAACUCCUUGAAACACACUAGACGAGAAUCCGUUUCCAAUCUGUGUGGCUAAUGUUUUUUUUUUGAUUGGCAUGUGGCUAAUGUUGUUGCCAGAUAUCUUUCAUCAACCCUCCCCAGUGGAGAAAUGCCAUCAUCAAUGCACCAGACCAUAUAGGAUGUUUAUACUGUAUGACAGAUUUGGAGAGGAGUUGGAUCUGGUUGGUCUGAGUGUAGCCAAUGGUAGGACAUGGUUUUGGAAUUACGUUUAGUCUGGAUUGUGUCGAAACGUGUCUUCUUGUCUUACAAGAGACUAUCUCCUAUCCCUAGAUCAAACACAGCCUUAUUGAGGUGGUAAGCGGUUGUUUGGUGGCUCUAAGAGGUCUUUCUCACUUCAGGCAUGUCUCUCUCUCUCUCUCACACACACACACAACCUUUUAAAUCCUCUUCUUUCUACCCAUCUCAUCUUUGAACACGGAUUGAACAGUAAUCGGGGCAAGAAAAAGGUCGGGAACAUGUUAAACAGUGGUCUUUGGGUUUGUAGAUUAGGGAAUUUUCAUUCAUUUAUUUCUUAUCUGUCAUGUAAGAUCAGCAUUUAGGUACACAAGGAAUCGAUAAGUUGUUUGCUUUGUGGUUUGGAUAGAAUUGGUGAUGCAUGAAUGACAAACCAAGGUAAAAGAAUGGACAGACAACUUCAACUUGAUAGAACAAAGACCCUCUUUUUUAUUAAUUCUCAAAGAUUGGUUUUACGUCCUUGGUUAAGAUUGGUUGGGAUAGAAUUGGUGAUCCAUUGAGGCAUCUGAGCUAGCUCCUGCAGAGAAUUAAUGUUCUGAAAAAUUCCAUAUUUGGGUAUCUAACAAAAGCAAAGAAUGUAUUAACACUACAAAUGUGACAAUCAUGGACAACCUACACGGCACUAAGUCGUGCUUAAGGAGGACAAUGACUUACUGCCAAGGAUAAACGGCAGUCUCCAAAUUCAACUGCAUCUCAUGAACAAGAACUAGAUCUUCAUUCCCCUACGAAAGAUAAUUGGAAAAAUGAUUUUGCAAUUUUAAUCAUUGCAUGUACACAGUUUCAAUUGCCCCACCCUCAACUUGCCCCAAAUGUAUUCCGCCUUUCUCCAAUUGUUCCCUCCGGAUAACCAUAACUUAUUUGGCGGUGGAACUCCCACUCCUGUAGAAUUGGAGCCUCAUAAAGAGGACAUCUUAUUUACCUGUCUAUUACUAUGGCAAUGAGAUCGAUCCCAUCAAUUCCUUCCUUCCUUCCAUAGCUUCCUCGGAUGAACGAACCACCGCAUUUUCUCUCCCUCCCUU
Molecule: long non-coding RNA, 1721 nt
Organism: Rhododendron vialii
Lineage: Eukaryota; Viridiplantae; Streptophyta; Magnoliopsida; Ericales; Ericaceae
Exons: 3
Source: RefSeq, a predicted model, not a curated record